UACCUUGUUGCUUCGGCGGGCCCGCCGUUUCGACGGCCGCCGGGGAGGCCUUGCGCCCCCGGGCCCGCGCCCGCCGAAGACCCCAACAUGAACGCUGUUCUGAAAGUAUGCAGUCUGAGUUGAUUAUCGUAAUCAGUUAAAACUUUCAACAACGGAUCUCUUGGUUCCGGCAUCGAUGAAGAACGCAGCGAAAUGCGAUAAGUAAUGUGAAUUGCAGAAUUCAGUGAAUCAUCGAGUCUUUGAACGCACAUUGCGCCCCCUGGUAUUCCGGGGGGCAUGCCUGUCCGAGCGUCAUUGCUGCCCUCAAGCACGGCUUGUGUGUUGGGCCCCCGUCCCCCUCUCCCGGGGGACGGGCCCGAAAGGCAGCGGCGGCACCGCGUCCGGUCCUCGAGCGUAUGGGGCUUUGUCACCUGCUCUGUAGGCCCGGCCGGCGCCAGCCGACACCCAACUUUAUUUUUCUAAGGUUGACCUCGGAUCAGGUAGGGAUACCCGCUGAAC
RNAcentral lists this ribosomal RNA (498 nucleotides) under Aspergillus fumigatus. RNAcentral's name for it is "eukaryotic LSU rRNA". The stretch from base 141 to 294 matches the Rfam family "5.8S ribosomal RNA". The record is from RNAcentral. Lineage: Eukaryota; Fungi; Ascomycota; Eurotiomycetes; Eurotiales; Aspergillaceae.